UUGCAAGUAUAGAGUCCGUCAGCGAAAGAAGAGUGAAAAAUAAAACGGCAACGGCGCAUGGUAAAUAUGGAUGUUUCAUCACAAUGUUCCCCAUCUCCACAUCCUUGGCCUGCAGCUCCUGUCGAGAUAGGAAUUCCACAAUGCCAGCCCCAAUGGAGUCACCCAAGACGUUGGUUGUGGUACGCAGCCGAUCACUACAAUCCAGGAAUAACGAACCAAUCAACUGCAAUGAUGAGGGUGAUGUCAUCAGUGGGAAGUCCAACAGAGGUCAACACAAUCACCAUGGUGACCAGUCCAGCCUGUGGUAUCCCAGCAGCUCCAAUACUUGCUGCAGUGGCUGUGAUGCUGUUUUAUAGCACAAAAUGAUAUAUUUUAAACUCUUAUCUUGAUAAAUCAUGUAAUGUAAUUGUAAUCAUAUCAACAUAUUUUGAUUCUGUAAACAUAAACUUUAGCUUAUUAACCUUAGAUACUAAUUCUUACCUGAUUGUAAUGAUCUGACCUAAGUUCAUGUCCAUGUUGUUAACUUGAGCUAUGAAGAUAGCUGCCAGAGCCUCGUAAAGUGCUGUUCCAUCCAUGUUAAUGGUUGCGCCGACCGGCAACACAAACCGCGUGAUGCGCUUAUCCACCUUGUUGUUUACCUCCAGACACUUGAAGGUGAUGGGAAGGGUUGCUGAGCUGAGAUAGAGACGGAGAGAGAAACAGAUGGUGUUUGAGUGGUUUUUGUUUUAGAUUUUUUGUAUUAGAUCUAUUCAUCAUAUUCUCCAGGGGUAAACUUUAGUAACACUACUAACGAGGAUGGUGAUGUCUUAUAGGCACAAUCUGAUCAAGAACAAUCCUGGCCCUACUAUAAUAGGUUUUGAUUUGACAUGAGUCAGGGCCAAGUCAGGCGAGGCUACAGUGUGGCGUAGUCCGAGCAGGACAGGGAGGAGAUUAAUGUAAGGGGACCAACCUGGAGGAGGUUCCCAGGGCUGUGAUGAGGGCCUCCACCAGCCCCAUGAUGAAGAUGAAGGGGUUCAGCCGUGUGAUGGCGAAGUACAGGCCGGGGAGGAUGAUGAAAGCGUGGAUGGACAGGCCUAUGAUCACCGUGAUGGUGUACAUGGCCAGCUGACCACCCAUCUCAGUGAUGUCAUCCAUCUCCACGAUCUUCCCCGAUAUGAGGAACAUGAUGCCGAUUGGUGCAUACCUGUAGAGCAGAGGACGGAGAAGAGGUUAUGCUUGGGAAGGGUAUGGUCACAUAGUUAAAAGGGACUUCUUUUUCUGUGUAAUACUAUAGGCCUGAAAAAGUCAAAUGUUUAGUCUCUCACGGACAGACAUUUGAGAAAUCAUCAGUGCAUUCUGAGAGUGCAGAGCGCGGGCUAUGAAAUUACCUUUAUUCAUAAACAAAACUUGGUUUAAAUCUGUCAAAUAUCUGACUGGGAAUAUUUUGGAUUUAUUUGAGUGAACAUGUCACUGGUCUUGGUUACAAAGCCUUGUAAUUCAUCUGUGGAAUCAUUUAGCAUCAGGAAGCUACAUGCCCCGAGAUGGUUCUAUGUUGGCCAAUUAUGAGAUUGUGGUCCUGCAAUUAUCUCAGUAACCCUAAAGACCUAUAUCAGAUCAUGCAUGUUUAUAGUUACCAGAUAAUUCAUAGCAAUACCUCAGGCAAGAGGCUAAAUAAAGCCAUAUGAUUGAAUUGAGAGGGAGAGAUACACAUAGUAACUCCCAACUCUACAGGCACUCUAUAGGUAGACUUAGCAUUUCAAAGCAUAGAUGUGUAGAUUUCUCUGUGCCUGAUCUAAUCAUGAACCACAUGCAAUGCAGGGGGUUUGCAUAAACACACACACACACCUAAUGAAUGAUUAUUGGACCAUCAUCAUA
Long non-coding RNA from Oncorhynchus gorbuscha (pink salmon), 1854 nucleotides. RefSeq lists it as uncharacterized. The transcript has 3 exons. The record is from RefSeq and is a predicted model, not a curated record. Lineage: Eukaryota; Metazoa; Chordata; Actinopteri; Salmoniformes; Salmonidae.